GUCAAUGGAAAUGAUUAAGUCAACACAUCAUUCAGAAAUAUAAGCUGCAGAUUUGACC
Molecule: small nucleolar RNA, 58 nt
Organism: Numida meleagris (helmeted guineafowl)
Lineage: Eukaryota; Metazoa; Chordata; Aves; Galliformes; Numididae
Gene: SNORD63
Rfam family: Small nucleolar RNA SNORD63
About the family: snoRNA U63 is found in both humans and mice. U63 is a member of the C/D class of snoRNA which contain C (UGAUGA) and D (CUGA) box motifs.
Source: Ensembl